GCCUACGGGAGGCAGCAGUAGGGAAUCUUCCGCAAUGGGCGAAAGCCUGACGGAGCAACGCCGCGUGAGUGAUGAAGGUCUUCGGAUCGUAAAACUCUGUUAUUAGGGAAGAACAUAUGUGUAAGUAACUGUGCACAUCUUGACGGUACCUAAUCAGAAAGCCACGGCUAACUACGUGCCAGCAGCCGCGGUAAUACGUAGGUGGCAAGCGUUAUCCGGAAUUAUUGGGCGUAAAGCGCGCGUAGGCGGUUUUUUAAGUCUGAUGUGAAAGCCCACGGCUCAACCGUGGAGGGUCAUUGGAAACU
Molecule: ribosomal RNA, 305 nt
Filed under: uncultured bacterium
Lineage: Bacteria
Description: bacterial SSU rRNA
Rfam family: Bacterial small subunit ribosomal RNA
Source: RNAcentral